RNAcentral lists this long non-coding RNA (1115 nucleotides) under Strigops habroptila (Kakapo). RNAcentral describes it as "lncRNA (ENSSHBG00005010575.1)". Lineage: Eukaryota; Metazoa; Chordata; Aves; Psittaciformes; Psittacidae. The record is from RNAcentral.
GUUUGAGUCAGCUACAGAGGCAUCAGCCAUUCUGUGCAGCAGCAAAUAGAGUGUGCUCGAGUCCUUCAGAGACAGUAAAAAAAGGGUACAAAGGAAAAUAGGGGGAGACAACAAAGUCUAAAGCCAUAAUGAAAGAGCAAACUGCAAACGAGACCCUCCGGCAGAGCGACGGGGCUGCGGUCCCAGGGGCAGACGCACAUGCUCGCGUGACAACUGAGGCCAUUAAAGUAAAGAGUGCCAAUUUGAAGGACAUCGAAGGACUUGGAUGAUUUCUGCUUGGACUUGAAAGCGAGAAAAAGCCCAACAAAGCAUGGCAAGCCAACAGCAAAUACAGAGCAGGCAUUUUAAUGGGUGGAAAGGUAGCCUUCAUUUCUGAGCUCAUAAAUUUUGGGGAGAGCAUGUUAAACAUAAGUUCACUUUGUCUCUUGCUUGAGGCUUUUUUGUUUCCUGUGGGAGUAACAGAAGAAAGUAUGGUCUGACAAGUAUGUAUUUUGAAGCAUUGCUGUAGAUCUGUAGAUACAGACUGUGGACUAUCUGCUAGCAUUUGGCUCUGUGAAAAGAGUACAACUCAUGGCUGGUUAGACUGAGCUGCAAAUGUGGGAUGAUCGCUGUGAAGAGAGGACUUUGGAACACUGAUUUGCAUAUCCUAUGGCUGUAGUAGCUCAUUCUGUGGUCAAAAGACACUGAGGAAAGAAAGAAGGUAACUGUUGUUAAGCUAGAUACCUUUGAUUCGAUGCGUGUUUUGGCCAGAGUAUUGCAGAGCCACAGAUAGACCUUGAAUUUGGAGCUUCUUUAGCCAAGGUCCUCUGUGUGGUCCUGUUAACACUGGCUACAAGAUGCUCUAGCAAACCAUUACUUGUGGGGCUUCAGUGCUUGGCUGAGCAGAGGAUCCCUGUUUUCCCCCAAAGGAUGGAAAGUGCCUUGGUUUACUAACAUUCAGAGCCUGACUACACCUGUCUGGUGCACUUCUCAUUGAUAGGAGCAAACUGGACUUUAGUAGAAUGAGUGAACAGAGCUCUGGAAUUCUUUACACAGCCACUAGGCCAGUGAUGAGGUGAUAGAAUUUUGGUAGAUGAGGGAUGAUAACAGUGAUCUCAUGGGAACCUGGAAAAGCU